AGAAACAAUAUUUAUGGAGUUAUAAUGUGAUUGUUGAUAAAAACCGAUACAGACAAAUACUUGCCGUUUGCCGACCAAUGUGGAGUGUAGAGUUGUAUAAAGGUGUUUCAUCAAUUCAUUGAUAGAAGAGGAGAUUCUGACUACAAAGAUUUAGAGAAGCUUAAUGAGAGGCAUAAAAACCGAUACAGGCGAUUCCCUGCUCCUCUAUCUAUGUAUGCUGACCAACGUAGAAUGUAGAUUUGUAUAACGGUGUUUCAAUUCACUGAUGGAAGAAAAGAUUCCAACAA
Molecule: non-coding RNA, 287 nt
Organism: Styela clava
Lineage: Eukaryota; Metazoa; Chordata; Ascidiacea; Stolidobranchia; Styelidae
Source: RefSeq, a predicted model, not a curated record